UUUUGUUGUGAACCCUAAACCCUCUUUGAUCAGUGGGUGCCUGCUACUCUGCUGCUGCCUACCCUGAAUUCGUGGAAGAUUCCCAAAAGAGAGGUUUGUGUUUGGAUGUCAUGGCAACAAUGGCGAUUCUCUUAGGACCAGGGAAAAGGAAGGCAAGAAGAAACGGAGGUAGAAGUGAAAUUUCAGAGUCAUCAAGUUCAUCAUUCCCUCAUGUUCAAUCUGUUUGUUUCCGCGGAAAGCGCGUAGGAAACAAUAUGAUCGAAUGGUUCCACUUCACAAUGGCAGGCAACAAGAAGAAGAAGGAGGCGGAGGAAGAGAGGAGAAGACGAUGCCGAAGAGGACAAGUUAAUCUUGUUUUUCACCAUAAUCAUCGCCACAAGGGAGAGGGAGAGCAUUCACGGAUUCUAUCUCCAAUCCAGACCCAGCCGCCAGACUCCUCCUCCGAUGCCUCCCCGGCUGCCCUGGGCUCCAUCAUCUACUGUAUUGGCGGUCGUCGUUUUCGAAACUGUGGCCAUGACGAUGAUCACACUCGCCAAGUCCAUUAUUUUGAUGCGAAUCGUCCCACGGAGGGCUGGAAGGAAGCUUCUCCCAUGAUUAAUCCCAGAUCAGAAGCUAAAGUUGUGGCUCUCCAUGGCAAGUUAUACGUCUUUGGCGGCGGCGGCUCAGAUUGUGGUGGUGAUUGGGCUGAGGUUUUUGAGCCAUGUGGGCCUGAUGACGAUGGGGGUGGUCAGGGGGGUCAAUGGACAGCUCUACCUUCACCCCCAUCUCUUCCUACUCAUGGUUAUGGUUGUUUAAUUUGCUGUAGCUCGUAGAGCUUCCAACAAGAUUGUGGUGGGAUUACAGAUUGUGCUGGGAUUACGGCAAUCUGUUGUUACUUAUGAGUAUGAUGUUGCACAUAAUUCCUGGUUAGAUUUCAAGUUAAAUCCUUCUCUGUUCACGUUAAGCCAACCAGUAGUAGCUGGCAAUAUGCUGUACUGGGUCGAUCAAGAGCUAAAUGCAUACAAUCUUGACAACAAAAUGCUCUACUCAGGACCCAUAGAAGAUCUGCAGAUUGAGCACCAUCUCAGGUGUGGUGAUUAUCUUUUUACAUCAUCCUUGCUUCAUCUAGCUGAAGAUCGUUUCUGUUUGCUUUGGGUUGACCCUGAUGGCUCACUAUCCCGCCUUCAUUACACCAUACUGCAAGUCUCUAAAGGCACCGAUAUAAACGGCAAAGGUUGUCUCAGUGCUUCUGUUUUGUCCUGCCACUCUUCUAUUCUUGAAUUUCCAUUGGACUUUCUUGACGGCCUGCUGAUGUAAUGCUUGACGAAGAGAGAUUAUUAUAAUUGGUUGAUUACCAUUUCAUCUAUGAUGGAAAAACUGGUAGAUUUCUUCGCCAGUGCUAUGUUCAGUUUGAGACUAGGGAAAUAGGAGUGCAGGAAAGAAAGGUAAAAUUGGUACAGUAAAGAAGAUGAAAACCAACUGCUGACUUUGUACCAGAUCAGGAAAAGAAGACAGAAUUCAACUAGUUUGCCCAACUGCUGACUUUUGUUUGAUACUGAGAUUUUUGUCAAGGAUUCUCUAGUUUUCAGAACUCCAUUUUAGGGUUGAAUUGUAGCUUGAUUAUGUGUAUAUAUUUUUUGUUGAAGUAUC
Long non-coding RNA from Camellia sinensis, 1629 nucleotides. RefSeq lists it as uncharacterized. Lineage: Eukaryota; Viridiplantae; Streptophyta; Magnoliopsida; Ericales; Theaceae. The record is from RefSeq and is a predicted model, not a curated record.